RNAcentral lists this unclassified non-coding RNA (355 nucleotides) under Hevea brasiliensis (rubber tree). The record is from RNAcentral. Lineage: Eukaryota; Viridiplantae; Streptophyta; Magnoliopsida; Malpighiales; Euphorbiaceae.
CUGAGGGCGUUUAUGAGCUUUACCACAAGAUGAUCGGCAGGAAAUUUGUUCCGAAAACUCAGACUAUGGUCAUGUUGAUGAAAUUCUUUUGUGUAAAUGGCCAGGUUGAUUUGGGAUUGGAUUUUUGGCAAUACUUGUUGGAGAAGGGAUAUUGUCCCCAUGGUCAUGCAUUGGAUCUUUUAGUUACAGCAUUGUGCUCACGGGGGAGGUUGCAAGAAGCAUUCGAGUGCUCGAAACAAUUUUUGGAGAGAGGAAUGCGUUUGAGUGAAGUUGUAUAUCGGAUGUUGGAGAGAUUUUUACAGCAAUCUGAUAACACAGACAAGCUGAGGGAGAUCAAUGAAAUGAUAAAGAAAUU